GAUUAACGCUGGCGGCGUGCCUAACACAUGCAAGUCGAACGGAGAUUAUAGCAAUGUAAUCUUAGUGGCGGACGGGUGAGUAACGCGUGGGCAACCUGCCUUUUACCGGGGGAUAACACAGGGAAACUUGUGCUAAUACCGCAUAACAUCAUGAAGGGACAUCCCUUUAUGAUCAAAGGAGCAAUCCGGUAGAAGAUGGGCCCGCGUCCGAUUAGCUAGUUGGCGGUGUAACGGACCACCAAGGCGACGAUCGGUAGCCGAACUGAGAGGUUGAUCGGCCACAUUGGGACUGAGACACGGCCCAGACUCCUACGGGAGGCAGCAGUGGGGAAUAUUGCGCAAUGGGGGAAACCCUGACGCAGCAACGCCGCGUGAAGGAUGAAGGUUUUCGGAUCGUAAACUUCUUUGAUGAGGGACGAAGAAAUGACGGUACCUCAAAAACAAGCCACGGCUAACUACGUG
Molecule: ribosomal RNA, 462 nt
Filed under: uncultured bacterium
Lineage: Bacteria
Description: bacterial SSU rRNA
Rfam family: Bacterial small subunit ribosomal RNA
Source: RNAcentral